Molecule: long non-coding RNA, 283 nt
Organism: Ipomoea nil (Japanese morning glory)
Lineage: Eukaryota; Viridiplantae; Streptophyta; Magnoliopsida; Solanales; Convolvulaceae
Exons: 3
Source: RefSeq, a predicted model, not a curated record
GUAACUAUGGUUUCAUUCCAAGGACCAGAGAGCAGCUAUUGAUGAACACCGUGUUUCAUUCAAAAAGAGCAACGUUCAGCAAGUGGUUAUGCUGUUGCAGUCCCUGUGUAUAAUUGAGUUGAUUUUUCGGGUGAUUGGGGGCGAUGCGAUCCCCUCCAUAGAAUAUUGUAAUGCUGCUGCUGAUUUGUGUUGUACUGUACUCGUCAUCAAACAGGUUUUCGUGGCAUGAACUAAACUCAACAAGCUCCAAGCACUUGAGAGUUUCUUUCUUGCUAAGGUGUCA